CAGUCGCCACGGUAAGACAGAGGAUGCAAGCGUUAUCCGGAAUGAUUGGGCGUAAAGCGUCUGUAGGUGGCUUUUCAAGUCCGCCGUCAAAUCCCAGGGCUCAACCCUGGACAGGCGGUGGAAACUACCAAGCUGGAGUACGGUAGGGGCAGAGGGAAUUUCCAGUGGAGCGGUGAAAUGCGUUGAGAUCGAAAAGAACACCAACAGCGAAAGCACUCUGCUGGGACGACACUGACACUAAGAGACGAAAGCUAGGGGAGCAAAUGGGAUUAGAUACCCCAGUAGUCCCUGUCUCUUAUAC
This 301-nucleotide ribosomal RNA is filed under the name uncultured bacterium. RNAcentral describes it as "partial 16S ribosomal RNA". It matches the Rfam family "Bacterial small subunit ribosomal RNA", at positions 509 to 807 of the family's 1533-position model. The record is from RNAcentral.